GAUGAACGCUAGCGAUAGGCCUAACACAUGCAAGUCGAGGGGCAUCACAUGAAGUAGCAAUACGGAUGGUGGCGACCGGCGCACGGGUGAGUAACACGUAUGCAACCUGCCUUCAACAAGGGGAUAACCCGUUGAAAGACGGACUAAUACCCUAUAACACAGGGGUCCCGCAUGGGAAUAUUUGUUAAAGGACAACCGGUUGAAGAUGGGCAUGCGUUCCAUUAGCUAGUUGGCGGGGUAACGGCCCACCAAGGCAACGAUGGAUAGGGGAACUGAGAGGUUUAUCCCCCACACUGGUACUGAGACACGGACCAGACUCCUACGGGAGGCAGCAGUGAGGAAUAUUGGUCAAUGGACGGCAAGUCUGAACCAGCCACGUCGCGUGAAGGAAGACGGCCCUACGGGUUGUAAACUUCUUUUAUACGGGAAUAAAGUGCCCCACGCGUGGGGUUUUGCAUGUACCGUAUGAAUAAGGAUCGGCUAACUCCGUGCCAGCAGCCG
RNAcentral lists this ribosomal RNA (501 nucleotides) under uncultured bacterium. RNAcentral describes it as "bacterial SSU rRNA". It matches the Rfam family "Bacterial small subunit ribosomal RNA", at positions 28 to 517 of the family's 1533-position model. The record is from RNAcentral.